CCUACGGGAGGCAGCAGUGAGGAAUAUUGGUCAAUGGGCGAAAGUCUGAACCAGCCAAGUCGCGUGAGGGAUGAAUGCCCUAUGGGUUGUACACUUCUUUUAUAUGGGAAUAAAAUGUUCGCCGUGUGCUAUUUUGUAUGUACCCUAUGAAUAAGGAUCGGCUAACUCCGUGCCAGCAGCCGCGGUAAUACGGAGGAUCCGAGCGUUAUCCGGAUUUAUUGGGUUUAAAGGGCGCUUAGGUGGAUUGUUAAGUCAGUGGUGAAAGUUUGCGGCUCAACCAUAGAAUUGCAGUUGAAACUGGGAGUCUUGAGUACAGUAGAGGUGGGCGGAAUUCGUGGUGUAGCGGUGAAAUGCUUAGAUAUCACGAAGAACUCCGAUUGCGAAGGCAGUUCACCGGACUGUAACUGACACUGAGGCUCGAAAGUGUGGGGAUCAAACAGGAUUAGAUACCCCUGUAGUC
This 460-nucleotide ribosomal RNA is filed under the name uncultured bacterium. RNAcentral's name for it is "partial 16S ribosomal RNA". It matches the Rfam family "Bacterial small subunit ribosomal RNA", at positions 338 to 795 of the family's 1533-position model. The record is from RNAcentral.